AACGCACCUUGCGCUCCUUGGUAUUCCUUGGAGCAUGCCUGUUUGAGUAUCAUGAAAUCUUCAAAAUCAAUCUUUUUGUUAACUCAAUUAGUUUGAUUUUGGUAUUGGAGGUCUUUUGCAGCUUCACACCUGCUCCUCUUUGUGUAUUAGCUGGAUCUCAGUGUUAUGCUUGGUUCCACUCAGCGUGAUAAAUUAUCUAUCGCUGAGGACACUGUAAAAAGUGGCCAAGGUAAAUGCAGAUGAACCGCUUCUAAUAGUCCAUUGACUUGGACACUAUUAUUAUGAUCUGAUCUCAAAUCAGGUAGGACUACCCGCUGAACUUAA
RNAcentral lists this unclassified non-coding RNA (324 nucleotides) under uncultured fungus. Its description in RNAcentral is "sequence contains ITS2". The record is from RNAcentral. Lineage: Eukaryota; Fungi.